This 45-nucleotide non-coding RNA is filed under the name Schistosoma margrebowiei. The record is from RNAcentral. Lineage: Eukaryota; Metazoa; Platyhelminthes; Trematoda; Strigeidida; Schistosomatidae.
AUGUAGUUGACGAGUCGCAAAUAGGACGAAACACACGUUCUGGAU